CAUGUAAAGCAAAAAGGAGAAAGAGAGGUACGACACGAUUUCGCCGGUGAGUGACCGAUGAUGCCUAACCUAUGCUGGUGAAAGCAUACAGCAGAGUGUUUCAUCCGCCUAUUAGUUCGUCACGAAGAUGAUGCAUGCCGCAUGUGGAGUAAUGAUUUAGGGUUCCAACUGCGGAGUUGCAGCGGCAAGCGUCAGCUUUUGACGGAGGCGGCACCUUCUGCCAUCCUAUGACGAUGACUAUCAAGGUGACGCUUUGCAUAGUGUAAGGACUAACUUGGAUAAUCCAAGCAGUGUACUCUAGAGAUGCACAAAAUAUCCGGUUCCGGACCCGACCCGACCACAUACCGAUUCUAGAACCAGGGCGUAGAAAUAGGAACUGAAUCGGACCCGACCCGGAACCACCUAUACCCGGUUAAAAUCCGGACCCGACCCGGCCAAACCGGUCAAAACUAGGUCAAAUACCCGAACGUACCCGGAACCGUUUCCUACCCUACCCGGUUCUUGAUUUUUAGAUCAAACCCGAACCCAGUUCCUGGGUAUUAAAAAACCCCGUUUUGUGCAUCUAAUCGUGUGUACUUCAGGGUAUUAAAAAAAACUUUGUACUCCAAAGCU
Molecule: long non-coding RNA, 612 nt
Filed under: Helianthus annuus (common sunflower)
Lineage: Eukaryota; Viridiplantae; Streptophyta; Magnoliopsida; Asterales; Asteraceae
Description: sRNA HanXRQr2_Chr17g0787641
Source: RNAcentral